Mastomys coucha (southern multimammate mouse) is the source of this 390-nucleotide long non-coding RNA. RefSeq lists it as uncharacterized. The transcript has 3 exons. NCBI's taxonomy places the organism in Eukaryota, Metazoa, Chordata, Mammalia, Rodentia, Muridae. The record is from RefSeq and is a predicted model, not a curated record.
CAAGUCUCAAGGAGGUGUGGCUGCUACCUCCGCGCUCUAAGGCUGCCUAGGUUUACAGCUGGCCGCUUUUUUGACUGUUAAUUUGCCACUGGAAGUCUUCCAAACCACUUAAGAUAUCCUGAAGGUUUAUCUUUCAAUAUGGUUGAAUUGCCUGUAAGCAGCAUGACUUAGAUGAAUGAUUAAGGGUACACAGAUGCCACCACAGACUCUGGGAGGUCAGAGGACAAGUCUCAGCAUUGAGGUGACUCCUUCCACCAUAUGGGCUCUGGGGAGCAAACUCGGAUCAUCAGACUUGGCAGAAAGCAAGUCUGGGCUAUGCCAGUGCACAACAAUUAUUAUCCUACAUUGAAAUCAAUCCACCUCCAUUAAAGCAAAAGUAUGCAAGUGCUA